UACGUAGGCGGGAAAUUAAGUCAGUAGUGAAAUCCCACAGCUUAACUGUGGAACUGUUAUUGAUACUGGUUUUCUUGAAUAUAGUUGAGGUAGGCGGAAUGUGUAAUGUAGCGGUGAAAUGCUUAGAUAUUACACAGAACACCGAUUGCGAAGGCAGCUUACUAAACUGUUAUUGACGCUGAGGUACGAAAGCGUGGGGAGCGAACAGGAUUAGAUACCCUGGUAGUCC
This 229-nucleotide ribosomal RNA is filed under the name uncultured bacterium. Its description in RNAcentral is "partial 16S ribosomal RNA". It matches the Rfam family "Bacterial small subunit ribosomal RNA", at positions 568 to 796 of the family's 1533-position model. The record is from RNAcentral.